This 459-nucleotide ribosomal RNA is filed under the name uncultured bacterium. Its description in RNAcentral is "partial 16S ribosomal RNA". It matches the Rfam family "Bacterial small subunit ribosomal RNA", at positions 338 to 795 of the family's 1533-position model. The record is from RNAcentral.
CCUACGGGAGGCAGCAGUGAGGAAUAUUGGUCAAUGGCCGGAAGGCUGAACCAGCCAAGCCGCGUGAAGGACGAAGGUGCCAAGCAUUGUAAACUUCUUUUGUCAAGGGACAAAAUCAGGCUCGAGAGCCUGACCGCGGGUACUUGAAGAAACAGCAUCGGCUAACUCCGUGCCAGCAGCCGCGGUAAUACGGAGGAUGCGAGCGUUAUCCGGAUUUGUUGGGUUUAAAGGGUGCGUAGGCGGACUGUUAAGUCCACGGUAAAAGCCCGGGGCUCAACCCCGGCGAGCCGUGGAAACUGGCGGUCUUGAGAUGUCGAGAGGUAUGCGGAAUGCGCAGUGUAGCGGUGAAAUGCUUAGAUAUUGCGCAGAACUCCGAUUGCGAAGGCAGCAUACCGGCGGCGAUCUGACGCUGAGGCACGAAAGCGUGGGUAUCGAACAGGAUUAGAUACCCGAGUAGUC